UGGGGGUAAUUUUUCCGCAAUGGGCGAAAGCCUGACGGAGCAAUGCCGCGUGGAGGUGGAAGGCCUACGGGUCGUCAACUUCUUUUCUCGGAGAAGAAACAAUGACGGUAUCUGAGGAAUAAGCAUCGGCUAACUCUGCGCCAG
Molecule: ribosomal RNA, 144 nt
Filed under: uncultured bacterium
Lineage: Bacteria
Description: partial 16S rRNA
Rfam family: Bacterial small subunit ribosomal RNA
Source: RNAcentral